AUGACGCCAACCGGAGCCACUGCCGCUCUCGUGCUAGCAGUACUCACCCUAGCACACCAUGCCUCACUCGCCGCCGCCACCAGCCCCAGGGUCAUCAUCGUCGGCGCCGGCAUGUCAGGGAUCUCGGCGGGGAAGCGGCUGUUGGAGGCCGGGAUAACGGACCUGGUGAUCCUGGAGGCGACGGACCACGUCGGCGGGAGGAUGCACAAGCGGGACUUUGGCGGCAUCAGAGUGGAGAUGGGUGCCAACUGGGUGGAGGGCGUCAACGGCGGCGAGAUGAACCCUAUCUGGCCCAUCGUCAACUCCACGGUCAAGCUCACCAACUUCCGCUCCGACUUCGACCACCUCGCCAGCAACGUCUACAAGGAGAAAGGUGGUGUCUACAAAAAGUACGUGCAGAAGAGAAUUGACCUGUCGGACAAGGUGGAAGAGGGCGGCGAGAAACACUCUGCCAAGCUGCAUCUCAGCGGCCAGGAUGACAUGUCAAUCCUCGCCAUGCAACGCCUCAAUGACCACCUUCCCAACGGGCCGUCGGCGGCAGUGGACAUGAUCCUGGACUACUUCAAGUACGACUACGAGUUCGCCGAACCGCCGCGCGUAACCAGCCUGCAAAAUACCAUCCCUCUCGCCACCUUCAGCGACUUCGGCGACGAUGUGUACUUCGUCGCCGACCAGCGCGGCUAUGAGGCCGUCGUGUAG
This 699-nucleotide ribosomal RNA is filed under the name Triticum aestivum (bread wheat). RNAcentral describes it as "partial small subunit ribosomal RNA". Lineage: Eukaryota; Viridiplantae; Streptophyta; Magnoliopsida; Poales; Poaceae. The record is from RNAcentral.